UUGAACGCUGGCGGCCGGCCUAACCCCUGCCAGUCGAGCGGAUGAAGGGAGCUUGCUCCUGGAUUCAGCGGCGGACGGGUGAGUAAUGCCUAGGAAUCUGCCUGGUAGUGGGGGAUAACGUCCGGAAACGGGCGCUAAUACCGCAUACGUCCUGAGGGAGCAAGUGGGGGAUCUUCGGACCUCACGCUAUCAGAUGAGCCUAGGUCGGAUUAGCUAGUUGGUGGGGUAAAGGCCUACCAAGGCGACGAUCCGUAACUGGUCUGAGAGGAUGAUCAGUCACACUGGAACUGAGACACGGUCCAGACUCCUACGGGAGGCAGCAGUGGGGAAUAUUGGACAAUGGGCGAAAGCCUGAUCCAGCCAUGCCGCGUGUGUGAAGAAGGUCUUCGGAUUGUAAAGCACUUUAAGUUGGGAGGAAGGGCAGUAAGUUAAUACCUUGCUGUUUUGACGUUACCAACAGAAUAAGCACCGGCUAACUUCGUG
Molecule: ribosomal RNA, 483 nt
Filed under: uncultured bacterium
Lineage: Bacteria
Description: partial 16S ribosomal RNA
Rfam family: Bacterial small subunit ribosomal RNA
Source: RNAcentral